UACGUAGGGGGCAAGCGUUGUCCGGAAUUAUUGGGCGUAAAGAGCUCGUAGGCGGUUUGUCACGUCUGCUGUGAAAACCCGAGGCUCAACCUCGGGCCUGCAGUGGGUACGGGCAGACUAGAGUGCGGUAGGGGAGAUUGGAAUUCCUGGUGUAGCGGUGGAAUGCGCAGAUAUCAGGAGGAACACCAAUGGCGAAGGCAGAUCUCUGGGCCGUAACUGACGCUGAGGAGCGAAAGCAUGGGGAGCGAACAGG
RNAcentral lists this ribosomal RNA (253 nucleotides) under uncultured bacterium. Its description in RNAcentral is "partial 16S ribosomal RNA". It matches the Rfam family "Bacterial small subunit ribosomal RNA", at positions 524 to 776 of the family's 1533-position model. The record is from RNAcentral.